RNAcentral lists this ribosomal RNA (432 nucleotides) under uncultured bacterium. Its description in RNAcentral is "partial 16S ribosomal RNA". It matches the Rfam family "Bacterial small subunit ribosomal RNA", at positions 29 to 507 of the family's 1533-position model. The record is from RNAcentral.
AACGAACGCUGGCGGCAGGCCUAACACAUGCCAGUCGAGCGCGCCCUUCGGGGUGAGCGGCGGACGGGUGAGUAACGCGUGGGAACGUGCCCUUCUCUGCGGAAUAGCCUCGGGAAACUGAGAGUAAUACCGCAUACGCCCUUUGGGGGAAAGAUUUAUCGGAGAAGGAUCGGCCCGCGUUGGAUUAGGUAGUUGGUGGGGUAUGGCCCACCAAGCCGACGAUCCAUAGCUGGUUUGAGAGGAUGAUCAGCCACACUGGGACUGAGACACGGCCCAGCCUCCUACGGGAGGCAGCAGUGGGGAAUCUUAGACAAUGGGGGCAACCCUGAUCUAGCCAUGCCGCGUGAGUGAUGAAGGCCUUAGGGUUGUAAAGCUCUUUCAGCUGGGAAGAUAAUGACGGUACCAGCAGAAGAAGCCCCGGCUAACUCCGUG